UCCGUAGGUGAACCUGCGGAGGGAUCAUUAUUGAGUUACUGAACUCCCAAACCCGUGUGAACUUACCACUGUUGCUUCGGCGGUCACGCCCCGGGAGCCCUGCGCGGCCCGGAGUCAGGCGUCCGCCGGAGGACCAAAACUCUUGAUUUUACAGCGUCUCUUCUGAGUGGAUUAUACAAAUGAAUCAAAACUUUCAACAACGGAUCUCUUGGUUCUGGCAUCGAUGAAGAACGCAGCGAAAUGCGAUAAGUAAUGUGAAUUGCAGAAUUCAGUGAAUCAUCGAAUCUUUGAACGCACAUUGCGCCCGCUAGUAUUCUGGCGGGCAUGCCUGUCCGAGCGUCAUUUCAACCCUCGGGAGCCCCUUUGCGGGGGCUGCCGGUGUUGGGGAUCGCCCGCCGCCAUGGUGGACGUCCCCUAAAACGAUUGGCGGUCUCGCUGUAGCCUCCUCUGCGCAGUAGCACUUGUUCUCGCAGGCGGAGCGCGGCGCGGCCAAGCCGUUAAACCCCCAACUUUUUUACUAGGUUGACCUCGGAUCAGGUAGGAAUACCCGCUGAACUUAAGCAUAUCAAUAAGCGGAGGA
Molecule: ribosomal RNA, 580 nt
Filed under: Scytalidium circinatum
Lineage: Eukaryota; Fungi; Ascomycota; Leotiomycetes
Description: eukaryotic LSU rRNA
Rfam family: 5.8S ribosomal RNA (bases 189-342)
Source: RNAcentral